UUUCUAGUGAACUUAUACUAGAUAAGCCCUGCCCUACGUAAUUAAGUGGCCGCGGUACAAUAACCGUGCUAAGGUAGCAUAAUCAUUUGUUUAUUAAUUGUAAAAUUGAAUGAAUGGGUAAACAAAAUAAAGACUGUCUCCUCUAUAAAAUAAAAAUUAUUCUCUCUAUGAAGAAAUAGAGAUUCUAUUAAAGGACAAGAAGACCCUAUAGAGCUUUACUGUAAAUUUAAUAAAUAAAAUAAAGUUUAGUUGGGGCGACUUAAGAUAAAAUAUAACAUCUUUAAACUAAUAAGAGUAAUAACUCAAUAAAAUGAUCCUAUUAUUGACCAUUAAACCAAGUUACCUUAGGGAUAACAGGCUAAUUAUUUUUAAGAGUUCUUAUCUAAAAAAUAGAUUGGCACCUCGAUGUUGGCUUAGGGAUACUAUUUUUCGCAAAAGAAAAUAUAGGAGGUUUGUUCAACCAAUAAAACCCU
RNAcentral lists this ribosomal RNA (473 nucleotides) under Branchiobdella cf. kozarovi MT-2018. Its description in RNAcentral is "partial 16S ribosomal RNA". It matches the Rfam family "Bacterial large subunit ribosomal RNA", at positions 1831 to 2597 of the family's 2925-position model. The record is from RNAcentral. Lineage: Eukaryota; Metazoa; Annelida; Clitellata; Branchiobdellida; Branchiobdellidae.